This 253-nucleotide ribosomal RNA is filed under the name uncultured bacterium. Its description in RNAcentral is "partial 16S ribosomal RNA". It matches the Rfam family "Bacterial small subunit ribosomal RNA", at positions 524 to 776 of the family's 1533-position model. The record is from RNAcentral.
AACGUAGGAGACAAACGUUAUCCGGAGUUACUGGGCGUAAAGGGCGUGUAGGUGGUUACGUAAGUCUGGCGUGAAAUUUCUCGGCUUAACCGAGGCAGGUCGUCGGAUACUGCGGGACUAGAGGACGGUAGAGGCGUGUGGAAUUCCGGGUGUAGCGGUGAAAUGCGUAGAGAUCCGGAGGAACACCAGUGGCGAAGGCGACUCGCUGGGCCGUACCUGACACUGAUGCACGCCAGCAUGGGGAGCAAACAGG